UACGUAGGGGACGAGCGUUGUCCGGAUUCAUUGGGCGUAAAGCGCGCGUAGGCGGACCUGCAAGUCGGGGGUGAAAGCCCGAGGCUCAACCUCGGAACUGCCUUCGAUACUGCGGGUCUCGAGUCCGGGAGAGGUGAGUGGAAUUCCUAGUGUGGAGGUGAGAUUCGUAGAUAUUAGGAAGAACACCAGUGGCGAAGGCGGCUCACUGGCCCGGUACUGACGCUGAGGCGCGAAAGCGUGGGGAGCAAACAGG
RNAcentral lists this ribosomal RNA (253 nucleotides) under uncultured bacterium. RNAcentral's name for it is "partial 16S ribosomal RNA". It matches the Rfam family "Bacterial small subunit ribosomal RNA", at positions 524 to 776 of the family's 1533-position model. The record is from RNAcentral.